Molecule: long non-coding RNA, 321 nt
Organism: Daphnia carinata
Lineage: Eukaryota; Metazoa; Arthropoda; Branchiopoda; Diplostraca; Daphniidae
Exons: 3
Source: RefSeq, a predicted model, not a curated record
CGGUCUCAAAGAAGCUUUCAACACGGCACGCCAAAGUCCGACCUAUAAAGAACCGACCCCUCGCCACCCUCUCAACAACCAACCCAGCCCUCGCAUCUCCAUUGCCAACUGCAGCUGAUAAACUUCUACAAAAUCAACAUGACCAAAGACUGUUGCCAAGGAAAAUGCUCGUGUGGAACCGAAUGCAAAUGCGGACCCAACUGCGCACAAUGCCCAUCGACCACAUGCGCAUGCGCCACUGGUGGUGAAUGCAAAUGCAGCGGCAACUGCCAAUGCAAUUCCAGCUGUCCAUGCAAGUCCGCCUGCUGCAAGUAACUACAU